This 323-nucleotide long non-coding RNA is filed under the name Chinchilla lanigera (long-tailed chinchilla). RNAcentral describes it as "lncRNA (ENSCLAG00000028013.1)". Lineage: Eukaryota; Metazoa; Chordata; Mammalia; Rodentia; Chinchillidae. The record is from RNAcentral.
CUUCUCAUCACCCAAGCUUAAAAUUAGACUUAUGUUUCCAUUUUAGGUCCUCCAUUGUGCAUUACACCUAGGACUAUCAUCCUUCAGUAUUGCUACUUGGCCUCUUCCCACCUUUUCGUCAUAAUUCCUAUCAAAGGGUCCUGCCAUAAUCCCUCUAGGAUUUUUCAGGUUUUUUCUCUUUCAAAUAAAAAUUUUUCAAAUGCUGAAGGAAGUCUACUGUGUGAGGUGUAGAGCAUACUGGAAAGCAUACUUUUCAUAAGAAGGAAAAGAAGAGGCACUUGCUCUUUCAGACUUUGAAUAUUGCUGUGUGAGUAUAAAGGUUU